This 6186-nucleotide long non-coding RNA is filed under the name Homo sapiens (human). Its description in RNAcentral is "HSALNT0404936". The record is from RNAcentral. Lineage: Eukaryota; Metazoa; Chordata; Mammalia; Primates; Hominidae.
GCACUGUGUGCCGCGCCGCGGGAUAGCGGGCCUCGGGUCUGCGCGACUGUCGAGAGCGGCGGGAUCCCCAGGGAUCCCGGAGGCCAGGGGCACACCCUCCCCGAAAACACGUGGGGCUAGCCCAGUCCCAGAGGAACUCUAACGUUUCAAACCUGGAGGCGGGAGGCGGGAGGCCGGUGAGAAGGGGCUACGCCGCCGGGCCCCCCUCCCGCAGCAGCCACGGGCCGGGCCUCACCUGCCGGUUCCCACCCACACCUUUCCCGGUUGUAGUUUCUGCGCUCAGCGAACAAGGUCAGGAAAGACCACAAAUGCAAGCGGCUGUAUUCUCCUAGGCAGCUUGUCUGGGCAACGGAGGUCCCACACCCCAAAGAGGACCCAGCAAAUCUUUAAUGGACUGCGGGGCCUAGGAAACUGGCCCGUCCCUCCUACCCAUACCAGCACCAAGCAGAGCACCUUUGCCUGGAUAAACCGACUUUAAUAUUUAUGAUUGCCAAGAGGCUGAGAGUCCUUUUAUGAGGUCCGGUACCUCCAAACAAGACGUGUUCAUGUAGUCUUCAAACUGGCCUGGAGGGGGCAGCUCCAGCCAGUCGGAGGCGCCCAGGAGGAAGGCCUGGCUCCAGCAGGAGGGCCCACAGUCCAGUCUCUGUUGUCGGCUAAAGCUGGUCUUGCGCCGUCAGCCUCUACCCUGGCCUCCCCAGGCUCUGGGAUGGCUCAGAGGUUGCCGUCAUUGGGUUUCAGCAAAAAUAAAUAUUGUCCAGGUGUCCCUGCCUCCCAUUGCGUCCCCUGUGCUGCUGGAGUGACAUGCUCCUUGGAGAAGUUAGUAACUCUGCAGGUAGGGUGGGUGGUGACAACGCCCACUACACGCGGAAGUUGUACAUUGGAGGCUGGCGAAGUUGGGAGCAGAGGCAUAUCCAUAGGGGAAGCUGGCAGGGGCUGGGCCCACGGCAGGGCCUGCAGAGGGGGAAGCCCACAAUGAGCAGAGCUCUUCCUGCCCAUGGGGGUCCUCUCCUGGCUGCCCCUGAGUAGCCCGGGGCCCAGGGAGCAGGGUCUAUAGGACCAGCCCUUACCACCCAGACGCUGAGGCCCCAAGAGAGCAGGCAUCCAGAGGCAAGGAGCGUGGGGUCAGCCAGAGAACCUGGCCUGGCUAGAGGAUAAGCUAGUCUCCAAAUGGGACACUUACUUAGUGCAAUCAGCUGGGUCUCAUUCAUGCCCAUCAAAAUCUAAAAAAACCAGAAUGACAUUAAUGGUGGAAGGACACACUCAGCCGGACGCUGGAGACCCGCCGGCGUGCUGCACACUCACACCACACCCUCAGGCCUGUGUUUGCCCCACAGUGUCCAAGCACCCCACAGCCUCUCCAGUCUGCUCGACAGCCAGGCUGCCCUGGGCAGGUUCUCAGGUGCAAAGCCCCUCCCAGCACACACCAGCAGCAGCCUUGCUGUCCAGGGGCCAGGCCCAGCAGGACACAGCAGUAGUUCACAGCUAGGCAGGCACCCCUAUCAGAAGGCAGGCAUCCUUACAGCAGGGAGGACAGCGGCCGUGCCAACAUUCCUGGGCGUACACUUCUCCACACCCAGUAGCCACUGGGAUCCUUCCAGCCCCCACCCAUCUAUUCCCAUCCCCAUCCAAAGCCCAGCCAGGUAAGGGCAGUGGGACUUUGACUCCCUCCCUGCUCCCUCCCCAGGGGGUUGGGGGCUACAGGUGCCACCUACCAAACACGAGAGGGGCAGGCUCUGUCACAUGCUCCUCUUGCUUGCGCAGACUCUCCAAGGCAUCCAGUUUGUCCACCUGCAAGGAGGCAAAAGCACGUGAGCACCCGCUUGACAGAGUGCAGUCCGGCCUCUAGGUGAAAGUGGAGUGGAAGGUCAGGACACAGGGCCUCCAGGAGAAUGACAGUGGAGGAGGUGCACAUGGGCAGAUGUGGAGUGGCUCAGCCCACACCCCAUGCACUUUUAGAAUGCAGCAAGGCAUGGAGAGGUGAAGCCUCGGUAGCUGGGCUGAGAUGGAACGCCAGGUGGGGCCCCCAGAGCUUCCCAGUGGGCACUGGGGCAGUCAGUUGUUACAGGCUGUGCAUGUGGCCUGCUUAUGGGGGGCCAAGUCCUCCUCUGGAUACAGGGACACUGCCACUUACCGACCUGCAGGGCUGGGGCCAUGUGCAGGGAACACUGUCUGCUUCUGGCUCUGGCCAGUCUAGUUUGCCCGCCCCUCCAAACCAGCAGAGAGAUCAUGUGGCUCUCAGAGACAAGUCACCUGGCACCUAGACACUUCACCUGAGAAGCACUGAGGACAAACUGCCUCCUCACUCUUCCCUGAGGCUUCACCAGGCACUGACCCCACCCACUGCCAGAGAGCGAGGCGGCAGCACUGCACUAGAGGGGCGGCAGCAACUGUGCAGCUAGGAUCCCCUCACAAACACACUGAGUAAGAAAGAGAAAUAAGAAUGUGCCCCCCAUGAGCUGGGGUCUGGGGGGGGCUGAGAAAUGAGGAGGAAGCAGGGGGCACACUUGCUGACACCUAGGGUGAGGGCUGAGCUAGGCCUGUACCCUCCCUACAAUGGGAGAGCGCUGGGGGCGUCUCAGAGGGAUGGCCCUCAAGCUUCCCAGAUGAGCCACGAGGCCCCAGGCCCAGCUGUCCACCAGGAAAGGACUGUGCUUCUUGUCCGCGCCCUCAUUCUCCCAGCACUGCUGUGUGGUGUCAGCUGAGCACCAGCUCAAGCUGACAAUCAGCUCACACCCCCAUGCCACUGACUGGGAAACCCCUUGCCAGCCCCCUCCUCUCCUUGAACUCUCCCCAUGACAGGCGUCUCAUCUGCCCCAGCAGGAAUAGGUGGGUGGCAGCAGAGAAGGUGCUCCAGCAGCCACCACCUCCCAGGGCCAGUGGAGUCUGGGAACCCUGGGCCAAGGCUGUGCAGCCACAGUGUGGACCAACGUGAUAGUGGCUGCUAACUCCAUCAUCCGCAACAGAAAGGGAAUGUGCGCCUCAAAGUCCUGGGGGAUCCCCACAAGCACUUUGACCCCCACAGCAAUGACACUCCCUAGGGCCUGGUGAGCCUGAGUUCCUCUGACACUAACCCACGGGCCUCUACUGCCAGGAAGAGAUUCAAGCACUUUCUUUCCUUGUGCUGGUUCUCAGAACACAGACUACUUUCAGGAAAGACACCCGAGGGAUGGGAAAACCUGCUCAUCAUGGUGACAGCAGCUUCCACAGGCACGCACCAGACACCGCACACCACACACUGCAUACCACAAACCACAUACCACACGUGCCGCCUGUAGGGAGUUGCCAUCCACUGUGGUGGGGGAACCAGGGCCCUUGUCAAUCCAACCAGUCCAUGUCCCCUGGCAGCCCACGAAUCUCAGGCCACGUAGCCAGGGCUGUCCCUUCCUCCCCAACCCUUGAGAGUCAUCAGGGAGUCUCACUCAGGCAUGCUAUGCAGAUGGGAUGGGGUCACACUGUCCUACAGGAGGGCAACGGCCUUGAAUGGACUCUGGGAUGGCCUUUAUCAGGGGCUGGGCAGCCCCCUGGAGGCUCUGCAGGCGGCAGGCAGCCCUCCAGGCUAAAGCUGGCAGCAUGAGCCCGCCUUCCUGUUUCCUUCCUACCUCCCACUCACCUGGGAGGCCCCUCCCUUCCCUCGCUCCACUGAGUGAUGCUUCAGCAUGAGUGCCUUCCGAGGCUCUCCAUCUGGCUUGAAGGAGGUUAGAUAGGCAAGUAGAUGCUACUGGAAGUAGCUUUUCCAGUGUUAGAAACAACAAACUGUACCAGAUGACACUGCUGACACAGGUCUCUGGACAGUGGCUAAAGCUAGAUCCCAGCAGGGACUCCUAGGACUUCAACACCCAGGGAGAGUUUUACAAUCAAGUACUGUCACUUCGAUGAGGCAGAGAGUCAUCCUCCCUAUAGCUGUUAGAAGGAUUCAGUGGAUCUGUGAAUACUCCUACUAUGUGUUCAGCAAAAGGCAGCUACCACCAACCGUAUGCUAACAGCUGCACCCCCAGACGCCACUGGGAGCUCCUCAGGGAGCUGGGAUUGCCAGCCACCUCACUGUCACCUUGUUGAAGUCCAGGGCUGGGGAUGAGCACGCCUGUUGUGCUCCUAGCAGUGUGCACAUUGGGACAGCUGCCCAGCCAGAGUCUACAGGAGGGCUGCUGCCAGUGGGCACUCCCCAUGAUGAUUUUCUGGAGGGGCUUAACGUUGGGCAGAAAACCACUUCAGCAUGAAGGAAAGCAGCCACUCCUGAAGGCAGCCAGGGCUGGCUGGGGAAUCUGGGUUGGCCUCAAAGGGGCCCACCCUUAAGACCUGCGGCCAGAGUCACUGCCAGGGUUGGGUCAUGCCACACAGGGGCCGGGGAGCUGCAGCCGGCCCGGCACCUACCUUGCUCAGGUACUCCCUCAUCACCUGGAUGAAGUAGGGCAUGGCCAAGUCCACGAGGUUGUGCCUCCAGGCCAGCUCAAGCACCAUGUCUGGGCGAAGCAGGUCAUAGCAGGUGAAGAGACAAGCUGCGAAGCACUCCCUCUUGCCUUCCUCCAGGAACCACUGCAGCAACUUCUGGGCCAGCUCAGCAUCCCGCGACUCUGCAGCAUGCUGCAUGGCAUCCUGCAGCCAAGGCAAAUGCUUGCUUGGGCAUCCUGCAGGCAGAGGCUUUGUGCCUGCAGCAGCUGGGCCGGAGGGCAGGGAGUGGCACUAGACUCCACCAAGGACUUCCUGCGCUGUGGAGCAAGCCUGGACCCAUGGCUGGGCCAUUCCCUAUGCCCUGCUGCCCACUGGUGAAACGGAGAUGCCACCUCCGGAGGCUCUGGAGGGGACAGGUGGCUCACGGAGGCGCAGGUGCCCUGGGAGACAGGAACUCUAGCCCCGAGGGCAGAGGGCGUGCACAGGCUGCUCUGAGGAAGGCACUGAUGGGAGUUUGGGGGUUGUGGGGCUGCUGCAGAGGUGCUGCACUCAGGUCCAUGGAGCGUGUGACACCAGGGGAGCAGUUAGGAGGGGUACGGCUACUGCUCUAGAAACAGCAAUGUGUUUUUCUUUCAAGUGGCUCAAAAACCCCUAACUGCUAUUUUCAUCCUUGCAAAUGUAUUUGUCUAAGACAAUAUCAUUGACAAAAUAACACCUGCACCUGACCAGUCCUGAAGAAGCCUGCACUUUCUGUGGCCAUUCUCUAUUUUCUAGCUCCACAGCAGGCACUGGAUCACCUGAUUCCUUCUAUGGCAGGGGCUAUUAGUACCCCAUUCAGAGACCAGGAACCUGAGACCCAGAUGUAGUCACUUGCCCAGGGCCACUCCACCUGGAGUUGGCCAUGAUCCACUGACUGUGACCUGUGCUCUCCAGGGAUACCCUGUGGCGGUCCCAGCUCUGCAUGCCUGCCAUCGCCUGCAGCACACACCUCUGAGUUCCGUUUGGGAGACCCCUGAGGACGCCCAGUGCCCACAUCUGCAUGGACCCGAUGUGCUGAGCUGGCUCCGGAAAGAAGUCUCCCCCGCUGGCAUGCUGCUCAUCGAUCGCUGCCUCCUGACCCACACUGUUCCUACAAAGGCACCAGGAUUCUGACCCUCAGGUGAGAGCUCCAGGUGCCUUUGGGUCUCCGCUUUGAGGACCUGUGACGCCCGCUCAUCUGUCUCCCUGCCGUGCCCUCCACCGGCCCAGCCUACCCUUGCUGACUUGUCUUCCACAUGUGCCUAAAGUGGGCCCUGCUCUGUUCCUCCUCUGUGGGCCUUGGGGACUGUCUCACUGCCUUCCCAGAGGACUUCCAGUAGAAGCAGCCCCCAGGAAGCUCCCAGUCAGUGUCCCGCUCCUGCGGCCUGGAGCCCAGCUCGAGUCAGGCUCUCCCACACCCUCCUCUCUCAUCACCUCCCCGGCCCAUGCCACUCUCAGGGAGGCUUCAUCCUGGUCCCCAUCCCUGUGUCCAGCUCUCCAGUCUACACCUGUACUUCCGCAGGCCCCUGCUCUUCACUGGUGGGUGUGGGAGGGCCCCACUGACCGAACUUUCAUUUAAAUGCUACUUCUGUCAUCUGGAAAUACAGUUUUCUGUUGCUAGCUGGCUUUGCCCUGACUGGACACGCUGUGACCUGGCCACUCCUCCAGGAAGACUCCAGGAGGCUUCAGCUCUGGCCUCAGGGCAGGCUCCUCCAGUGGCAGUGCUGACCUUGGGAGGUCUGGGGAGCCGCCUGUGCACUGGGGCUUGUGGGCCCCAUC